AACGCACCCUGCGCUCCCUGGUAUUCCGGGGAGCACGCCUGUUCGAGUGUCAUGAAACUAUCAAGUCAGGUCUUUUAUUGGAUCUGACUUGGAUUUGGACUCUGCCGUGUCUUUCAAUAGGUGCGGCUGGUCUUAAAAGUAUUAGCUGGCCUUUGUGAAGGCUUGGUUCUACUCGGCGUGAUAAUUAUCUAACGUCGAGGACAUUCUUCGGAGUGGCCAGGUCAUCCAAUAGACUGCUUCUAAUCGUCUCAGGACAAUUUUCUAAAUCUGACCUCGAAUCAGGUGGGACUACCCGCUGAACUUAAGCAUAUCAAUAAGCGGAGGAUGACACACUGCAGUCAGUCUUGUGAGUCAUCGAGUCUUUGAACGCACCUUGCGCUCCCUGGUAUUCCGGGGAGCACGCCUGUUCGAGUGUCAUGAAACUAUCAAGUCAGGUCUUUUAUUGGAUCUGACUUGGAUUUGGACUCUGCCGUGUCUUUCAAUAGGUGCGGCUGGUCUUAAAAGUAUUAGCUGGCCUUUGUGAAGGCUUGGUUCUACUCGGCGUGAUAAUUAUCUAACGUCGAGGACAUUCUUCGGAGUGGCCAGGUCAUCCAAUAGACUGCUUCUAAUCGUCUCAGGACAAUUUUCUAAAUCUGACCUCGAAUCAGGUGGGACUACCCGCUGAACUUAA
Molecule: unclassified non-coding RNA, 670 nt
Filed under: uncultured fungus
Lineage: Eukaryota; Fungi
Description: partial contains 5.8S ribosomal RNA, internal transcribed spacer 2, and large subunit ribosomal RNA
Rfam family: 5.8S ribosomal RNA (bases 313-417)
Source: RNAcentral